GUGCGUGACAUUAACAGGCCGAGUCGUAACUUUCAAAAGUUCCUUCAAAACAAAUUAAAACGUUAAACAACGGAGAUCGGAUUAUGAGUUUCAGGUGAAGUUUUCGUGUACCUGGCCCAGACCUGGCCAACUAGGUGCUUGUGACAAUAGAAAUAAAAUUGUCUAAUUCCAAUAAUGCAAGUUCAAGAGCUAUGUCUUCUGAAGCUAAACAAUUUCUGUUGCAAGAUUUUGUAAAUCUUCAAGAUAUUGAUGCCUUCGCCAGAUCCAAUUCUUUGCUGCUAUCUAUUUUGCGGCACCACAGCAAGAAAAUGCUGCCAAUUAAGAUUUUGUGGUAAUCGUCACUUAGUUCUAAUGUAGGAGGACAAUGUAAGAUUGAUAGAUUCGAGGUUAAUCCCUAUCCUCUGUUUUGGAAACCUACAAGAGAUUACUGGAAUUGAAGACUGAUAAUUUGUGAAGGAGGAUGAGGAGGGCUCUGGUCGAACGGGGACUUGGAAGGUGGAUUAUCUGAGAAAAACUUUUGGAGGGUCAUGAGGAGUCUAUCCGGAAAUCCUGCUAUGACUAAUCGCUCCCUAGCAAAACUGGCCUCGUACUCUUCUCUCUCCUUCACCGGCCAGGUAUUCUCCCUGGUCGCAGACAAUCCAGGCAGUAUCAGAUACUGAUUUAAGGGUUAACUCUUGAAAACAAUUAAGU
RNAcentral lists this long non-coding RNA (690 nucleotides) under Daphnia pulex (common water flea). RNAcentral describes it as "uncharacterized LOC124204059, transcript variant X1". The record is from RNAcentral. Lineage: Eukaryota; Metazoa; Arthropoda; Branchiopoda; Diplostraca; Daphniidae.